RNAcentral lists this long non-coding RNA (2762 nucleotides) under Androctonus crassicauda. The record is from RNAcentral. Lineage: Eukaryota; Metazoa; Arthropoda; Arachnida; Scorpiones; Buthidae.
AACAUCUCUAAGAUGUCAUGUUCUCAAUUCGGCUAUACCGGUAACCCAACUACCACCCAGGUAAGUCCAUUGCUUUAAGUUGCGCUGUCUGUGCCACCCGCGGGGGGUUCCUUCUCUGGGAGGUGUUCCGUUCGACACCCACCGGUCCCCAGGCUGCGGUUCGGCGGGUGGCCGGAGUCCUCACUUUCAAACCAUUUUGCGGUAUGGGCCCUCCUCUGCCGACUCCGCCAGAUUGCGUUUGUUACGCCAAACAUUCGCCUUUGGUGUAGACGAUUUCUAACGUUGCGCGCAUUAUACUUGCUUUGUGUUAUGCUUUUUUCCCCCGAAACUUGCGGUGUGUCUCUAAUUCCGCACCCCGCUUGGCUCUGUUAAUUUGUCGCAGUCUGUAUACUCGCUAUUCCAUAGAUCGAUAGUAGUUGUAUGGCACAUCGUAUUUUUGCUCGUUAUACGUAAUUGCUGACCAUCACGUAACGUCACACGCUCCGACGCUAGGCCGAGAACGGGUUUUUAACACGUCGACACCAUCCGAACUGGCAGCCUGCUGGGGCCGAGUGCCGUUUGUCACCUCUAGCCUGUGGUCCACCCCAAAUGCCAGGAAGCAACAACAACAACCGCGCGGGCGGCCGUUCGUCUGUCCCACUUUGAUCUCCAUUAGGCCUAAGCAUACUUAACCUAAACGAAAAGUGAUAUAAAUUGGCUUAAACUUUUUGGAUUUUUUUUCUAUUCUUUUCAUACCAAGUAGAGUAGAAGGGUAGAAAGUGACAUUCACUUAAAUCCAACACAAGUGUCUAACACAAGUUGCAUUGAAGUGUUUUAGAAUACAAAUCGUUACUCAACUUCAAUACUUUCAUAUUAUCCAAAACUAUCUUUUUUAUGAAAUAUUGAAUAUUUUCCAGAAUUUUAUCAGAGUUACGCGACUCAGGCCUUCAGUUAUGGAACCAAUUUUAAAAAUAUAAAAUUUGAUUGUUUUUAUUUUAGCUUGUACACUUGUAACAAUUUUACACAGACUGUUUUGAUUGAUUCUUCUAUGAAGUUCGAUACCAUCAAAUAUUUAAAAAUCAUUUAUAAACGUUGCCUUUCUUUUUUAUUAACUUGUUUGCUCUUAUGUUUAUCAUAUACUGCUUUAAUAAUUAGACUAGUAAUAGUAUGAACAUUUACAGUUAUAGGUAAAUUUACAGUUAUUUACAUUUACAGUUAUAGGUAGGGUAUUCAAGGAAAAUUGUUAUUCGAAUUUAUUAUAAGAUUCAUUUAGUUCACUUAUGUCCGAAGCACUUAAGGUCUCUGUAUAAAGUGGCAUAGUCUUGGAGAUCCAGAAGGGUAGCAAAGUGCAUUUGCCCAACAAACAGGAUUAUAAAACGGGAAACUUUUUAACAUAACUUUAGAGAGGAAGAGGAGUAAGUUGAUAACAAACUGACUUUGGAUAAGACUCUGGUCUGAAUUGACAUCUGUCACCAUUGGACUUUCACAAAUCUAAGAAAUCCUUCAACUGAUUCCGACAAACACGCAGAUGCCCGCCUCGGGGUUCGCACUACAGUUGAGAAAAAAAAGUGGUCCGCAGGCAGAGUAUGGCCCAUUUGCUGCCUACAAGCAGAUGUAUUGGAUUAGCCAGGCUCUCUUAAGUUGACAAACUCUAGCAAUAGGAGGCCUGACCACUGCUGCCCUCUAUCGCCGAUAUUUCUUGGUCCUUCCAACCGCCUAUUGUGCCCGACUCUCUCUGUUGUGUGUGACGAAUGGAAUUCAAAAUCGGGUUUAGUCCGAUUUAUCAUAAACUACCGUGGAUCUCUUUAAAGAAGAGAAGGAUGAAAAAGAUCCGUUCCCAAAAAAGAAGUGGAGGGGUAGACAAACCAAAUCUCCUCCUUUCAAAUCCGGGAAAACGCUUCCGACCUGUAAAUUCAAGUUUUCACACAAUAAAAAUACAUAAGGCUGAAGUGCUACCUGCAUGAACGUAACAGGCGCAGAAGCCAAACUGCGGGCGAUGCCGUCCUUUGCAAAAUGUAUGUAAGUGGGACGAAAUAAAAAUUAAAACACUAUUAUGAAGCGAGCCCACACAAGUCUGGCCCUUGACCCCGCAACAGAAAUAUACUUAAUCUUCCAGAGUUUCUUUAGUAUCCGAGGCCCUUUUAGCUGGAAGAAUAGGACACGCUUUCUACCACAAAAUACGAGGUGUUACGCUCGUUUCGGGGGCCUUAAUGAGUCGGAAAGCGGAUUGAGUCGUUUCCCAAGGGAUAACUAGUUUUAAGAGCGUGGAAAUUAGAAGAAUUCUUUAAUCCUCUACUAAUAGCUGCGGUUCCGCAGCUGCUCUAGCAUUGGUGGAGAGCAUUAACAUUUUAUAGAGUAACUAAUUGACUUAAAAUACAUGGUGGCUCCUUGGCUUCUCCCUUUUAUAGUAAUUCCAACGAAGAACUCUGCUAACAUUUUCCGUCGCGUACUCGGGCCUAAAGCGAAUAUAUUUUAAAAAAUCAAUUUUGAUGCGUUGCUGCCUUUCGAAACUUGGAAUCACUGAAGUUACGGUUGCUAACCAAAAAGAGAACAGUAAACGAGGCCCCUGUCAAUAGAGGUGGCUUCAGUUCGCGCUUCUGUUAGUUUAAGUAAGUUUAUACUGUCUGAAAGGUCGCUUCGCCCAGUUUAAGAUCUGCUUCUAAACCGGGCCUGGAGGCCUUUCUUUACCUCCUAUUUGUGUAACAUAUGCUUUUUCAUUUCAGCUGCUCAUGGCUGGCCAGACGACGGGCCAGCAACUGCACGGGACAUCGAGUACAGCCGGU